AGUGAACGCUGGCGGUAGGCCUAACACAUGCAAGUCGAACGGCAGCACAGGAGAGCUUGCUCUCUGGGUGGCGAGUGGCGGACGGGUGAGGAAUACAUCGGAAUCUACUUUUUCGUGGGGGUUAACGUAGGGAAACUUACGCUAAUACCGCAUACGACCUACGGGUGAAAGCAGGGGAUCUUCGGACCUUGCGCGAUUGCAUGAGCCGAUGUCGGAUUAGCUAGUUGGCGGGGGAAAGGCCCACCAAGGCGACGAUCCGUAGCUGGUCUGAGAGGAUGAUCAGCCACACUGGAACUGAGACACGGUCCAGACUCCUACGGGAGGCAGCAGUGGGGAAUAUUGGACAAUGGGCGCAAGCCUGAUCCAGCCAUACCGCGUGGGUGAAGAAGGCCUUCGGGUUGUAAAGCCCUUUUGUUGGGAAAGAAAUCCAGCUGGUUAAUACCCGGUUGGGAUGACGGUACCCAAAGAAUAAGCACCGGCUAACUUCGUGCCAGCCGCCGCAGUAA
Molecule: ribosomal RNA, 506 nt
Filed under: uncultured bacterium
Lineage: Bacteria
Description: partial 16S ribosomal RNA
Rfam family: Bacterial small subunit ribosomal RNA
Source: RNAcentral